RNAcentral lists this small RNA (12468 nucleotides) under Rattus norvegicus (Norway rat). RNAcentral's name for it is "uncharacterized LOC102556263". The record is from RNAcentral. Lineage: Eukaryota; Metazoa; Chordata; Mammalia; Rodentia; Muridae.
GCCCACUUCCACAGUGACACACCUACUCCAACUGGACCACACCUCCAAAAAGUGCCACUCCCUGGGCCAAGUGUAUACAAACCAUCACUGAGGUGGCCACUUGUGUACCUGUCUUUUGCCAUUUAGCAGUUAUACUGUAGGGAGAGAGGAGACGAUACCUAAGUAUUUAGGAAAGUGGGUGGGAUCUUAAGGACUGGACAGGGGUUGUUCACUAUGUGGAUAUUUCAGCAAGCAGCCACAUUUCAGGAAAAUCUCUGCAUCUUAGGCUUCUGGGUACUUCCUGUCAAGAAAGAACCCAGUUUAAUGUUCACGUCAGCUUCUGGCAGUUGGUGGCAGUGGUUAGAGUUAGAAGAGUGUUUAUUUCUGAAAUGGUUUGCUUUGAAAUGAAUGGCUUGCUGAGACCUCCGCAGUGCUCGUGGGAACCCUUAUCUUGCUAAACUUUGUCCUAUGAGCAGAAUGCCGGAGUGAAUGGCCCGUGCACAUUUUAGCCUACCAACUAAUUUAGAACUCAAAAGUAUAUUGAGUGCUGUCUUACUCCAUUUUGGAGGCCGUUUCAAAGUGAAAGUGAUUCCACCAUCCAGAGAUGGUUGCUAGGAACUGCAUUUCCUACCUUCAGCAAAGGGUAAGUUGUCAGAAGUAGCAGGAGGGUGGGUAGUGAGAUGUGCAGAGAAUUUUAAGGGUGCACAGCAAGCAAGGGCCUGGCUUCCCAGUGGGUGGCUAGGAAGACAGCAAUUUGGAGGAAUAAACAUUACUGAAGAAUUUGCAGUCUCUGAAGGGACUCGGACUGUGGUCUUAAAGGAUGCUUAAGAUACUUCUGUGUUUUCUCCUCAUCAGGUCAUUGCCUCCAGAGCAAUUUAGUGCAAUUUAAAAAUAAGCACACAGUUAACUACCAUAAUGUGGAGAAACAAGUUGUUUCUGACUGUGCAUGCUAACUUUCUGUCUAUUUAGAGCAUAACUUAUAUUAUAUACAUACCGAGCCAUGACAUGACUGUGUAGUGGCCUCAUAUAAUAUCAGCAUGUAAGGUGGGUUGUUCAAAUAGAUCAGCAGGGUGGGAAGUGUUCAGAGCCUGCACCGGCUCACAGCCAGGUGCAUAGCUGUGCGUAUCCCACUAAAUGUGUUUUCGUCUCUUGAUCCUCAUAAGCAUCUCUGUGAACUGAAAAACCUCUGUGUGCUCUCCACGGUUGAUUUCAGUGUGAAUUAUGUUUAACUCUAGCUCUCCCAUCAUAAGGCUUGCUGAAGGCUCACCGUUGGGUCUGAUAAUAUCCCUCUUCUUGCUAAGGGCACACACAUUCAAAAUUGGAGUGAGUGGGUAGAGCAGCGCUUUAAUUUGGGUCUCGUUGGUCAUGGUUUGCAUUGGGGGCACCUUGAGGCCCAUUCCUUAACUGUGGUUUCGAGUUAUGUCCACACAUCGCCCAGAGAUCCUUGGAGAAAUUGAAACUGGAGAUCAAGAUCUCUAUAGUGUCGACCAGGUAGACACUUACUGGGGCAGGACAGGGAUGUAAUAUUACUGGGGUCUAGGGCUGGCAGUGUACUUAGUAUCUGGCUCUGCCUUCCUCUGGGGAAUGGCAGAAAGACCAGAAAACAUAUACUGCCCAGCUGUCUCCUUCGGCAGGCUUGGAAGUCUCUUCCGGACAAAGGAGAUGGUGAAGAGGAGAAGAACCUUUCCUCUCCUUAGGGUUCACCUUGCAGAAGUUCACUGGCCUCGUCUAUGCUCUCUGGAACGACUCCUCCAGACAACAAGGUCACAUAGAAAGGUCCGGAAUGCUGGGCCUGGUUCAUUGGGACACAUGGGUUCAAGCAUGCCUUCAAGCUUUCUGUGAGAGUCACGUCACGUGGCACACUGGGUCCACUGUCUCUUCCUAUGGCCUCAUGACUCUAUUGAAAUUUCCCUCCUAGAUCUAAUUAUAUUGUUGGUAGCAAUGUCUGUGGAUAAGUCACUUCUGUGUUCCCAGGUCACAGCAUGGUGUCACAGGUAUACUCCACAAAUAUUUGGGAAAUAAAAUGAUAAGCAAAUAAGCAAACUGCAGGGCUCUUUAAAAUGGUAGAUGAAAGGUGUAGGUUUAAAAUUCGUUCUUAAUUGGAGGCAAUGACAGGGCUUUGAGACAACUGAAAUGACGGAGUCAGGACUGGAAUAUAAAAUCACCGUAAUAGAAAAAGCACAGACUCUUAAGAUUUAGAAGGACCUCAAAGGAAUACCCAACCCGAUGUCUUGUCUUAAAGCCUACGCUCUCCUGUAAUUUUCCCAUUAGUGCUAGUUGGGACUUUGGACAUCUGCCAAGACCUGUUCUCUUUUCACAGUGAGCUAAAAUAUCCUGUGUAGCUUUCAUCUCUAAUUUUGUUUCAUGGAGAUACCUAGAUGAAAUGUUGCUUUUUUUUUUUUUUUUGCAUGUGAUCACCUUCUAUUUAUUUGAAGAAGUAGUUUCCCAUCCCUUAGUCUGUCUGCCAGUAAAAGGACACAGCCCCCUCAUCUGCUCCCUGUAUGUCGUACUGACCUGCUAGCUGAACUCUGUAUGGUGCAGCAAAGGCAUGGUCCUAGAGCAGAACGGGCUCAUCACUCUAAAGCCACAUGUCUAUGAAAGGCAGCUUAAUCUCACCAGCCUGUCCAGACCUGAGUUCGCUUUUCUGCUGAGGAAAAAGAUAACUUUCCUCUGCUACCGCUGUAUCUCUAGCCUUAUGUAAUUGCUUAUCUGGAUACAAGAAUAUGGAUUUUAACAAGUUUUCGACCCUCCGUCAUCAUGGGUAAGAGCACUGUAAGAGACCCAGGAAGGUGUCUGUUGAUGUCCAUCUUUUGCUGCAAUGCUAUGACCUAAGGGAGACAUGUGCUUAAACUGACCUGACCAAUUCUGAGUAUAAUUUGCUGCCUCCUGGGGAUUACAUUUUCCUUUCCUGGCUGCUCAGGAACAGCCUAAUAAACCACUUAUGAUUUCCUCCAAGGUGACCUCUCUCUAGCUUUUAGAACCAGCUCCUCCACAUGAACAGUUGAAUGACAUUUGCCAGCCCCCCGUCUUUUGGCACAUCUUCACUUUUCCAUGACUUCUCCAGAGCCGCCUGACACGGCUGGAGCGUUAGUGUUUGCUGUAGCAGGGGCUUACGAUGUCUCUGGUUGUGAUUCUGAGGCUGUAUUUAAUUUCACCUUAAGUCUAUUGUCUGAUUCUUUCUAGGCCUUGGGUGUUGGGGUCAGACCUAAUUUCUCCCCUAAGUUUUCACACUGUAUGUGUGAAAGAAAAGAAAUAAUUUUUUUUUGUAGUACAAGUUCCAGUGCGAGCGGCGUAGAGCCCCGUCUGUGGAUGUUGGAGAGGUUCCUUAAACAGUAGGCUUUCUUUUAAGAAUAUAAAUGGAAAUAAGGAGCCCCCCCACAAGUAAUACCCCCCAAAUCAAAACAAGUAAACAUAAAACCCAUCAAGAAAAUCACCUUAUAGCCACAGAACUGAGUCAAGAAUCAUGAGGACUUAGAGCAGCCCUCCCCCCCCAGGUAGUUUGGGGUCAUCUGGCCUUUGCACUUAACAGAGGCAGUUCAAGGACCACUCCUGCCCCAUGUAGGUGACUCUGCUCGUUCACUUGCAGUGUGUAGACCUUUUCCUGCCUAGGAAGGUACUGGCCCUUUGGUGGUGUUAUCAGAAGCUUAUCUUAGACUAGGGAGACAGAGAUGGAAGAUCCCUGAGGGCCUGGUAGCCAUUGCUGGACCUGGGAGCUCUCCCUGUGAUUUCCAGAACUACAAGUGAAUUUCAUCUCCUUCUUGUCCCAAAAUGAGACUCUGUUCUCCCAUUCAUGUGACUUGAUUCCAUUAUCCUAAAGAAUGUCUGUGUCGGUUCCCAGUAGGUCAGAGAUGACUGAAAACCAGGUCUCGUGGUUAUGUUUUUUUCAGGCUCUAUUCACAAGUUCAAAAAUGCUGGGAAUUUUGGAAAGCCUUCUUGGGAAAAAGAUGAGUCAUAUAGACAAACUACAGUCCUCAAAAACACACCUUCAUCCCCACCCACCUCUGACCGAGGCAUUGUAUGUGUGCAGACGUGUGGGUUUGUCCUUCUCUUAGAAUGGUGUAUAAAAGACUCCUCACUGUGUGGAGCAUUGGGUCUAUGGUUACUUCAGACUAGCCAUAUCUGAGUCCCGUCCAGGAAACCAAGCCUCAAAGCAAAGCUGCUCCUUACCCUACCCCCACCCCACCAAUCCCCACUUAGUACUUGCAAAAGAAAGUACACCAAGAGCCCUGUGUGUCUAACCUGUUCUCCCACUGCAGAAGUAAAACCAGGUUUCUUUCCCAACAUUCUACAGUUCAUACCUUUUAAAACAUUAAUUUUGACAGAGCUGCCUCUGGCCCCUUUCCAAAGACAUGAAGUUUUACUGAAAGUGAUUGGAAAGAAAGGAACAAAUGGGUGUUUAAAAGGAUUAAAAUGCAGAGUUAAAUUGAGACCUUGAGUGAGUUUGUGGGAAGGGGUGGGGGCUGGAAAGUCUGAGAGUGUAGAGUGGUGGCUGAUAGCAGUGUGGCUCUGCGCUAGGGGAGAAAAGCCAUUUGGUAUUCUCAAUAGAAGAAUGGCCGAUUCUUUUAAUAUUCCCCAAAUUGCCGCUCUUGGGGUUCCCAGUGCUUUUGCCCCUGUACUUUUCUUCUUUCAAGCUAAUCAUUUGGCAUCCGGGCACAUAGCUGCCUUCUGUAUAAAUACGUGUACAUUCAAGCCUUUGCUCCAACUCAGUGUAAUUCCUUUUAGAAAAUAAUGUUUUAAAGGAGCACAGCCUUAAUUCAAGGAAGUCCUGGCUGCUCUUAUUGUCCCCCAAAUCAUACAUUGUUUUCCACUGAACACUGCCGUUUGCUUAUAUUUCCCCACAGUUUUUGUUUGGGGGAGUUUUGUUUUGUUCCAGCAGCAGCUGAAGUGAUUUUGAGUGUUUGCUGCACGAUGUUAAUUAACCAAAUGUUGCAACCUGGGACUUGGGAACACCUGGGCCGACUGAAACUGCUUAGAAUCCCUGUGGAAAUCUUCAGAACAGUGGAAGGGAAGAACUUGAGGUGAAACUGUACAGGAAAGUAUUUUUUUUCUUCUUCUUUAAAUUCCUCCCUAUUUUCGAAGCAGAGUUAAAACAGACAAGAAACUGCCUUGCUCCCAAGAUAUAAUCUUUCUUAGCAGCAGAAGGGUGUCCUAUGUAUGUACAGGUUAACCCGUAGGUGUCCCAGACCGUUUGAAUGAAGGUAGGUUUGAUUUAUGUCUGUUUGGUUGACUUUUACUUUUAAUCCCCAUUUGUUUGGUGUGUUUGGACUUGAUCAUUUUAAAAGCGCAAGUACUUGCAAAGACAAGGGACGAUAGGAACUACUCUGUCACAGUGAGAUUUAGGCUACCCAAACCUUUUGUUUACCCAUUCUUCCUUCUGGGGGUAGAAACCAUAUUUGAGAAGGAAAUGAAGCAUGUUUUUGUUACUAGCUGAGCACAGUUCUGGCCACCCCACCGGGAGCCAUGCAGAAGGGGCUACCUCAGGUGCACUGCUGUGGCCUGUGCAGCAGGCCUGCCCUUUUCCACCACAUCCAAGAUGUGGACUGACAGAUAUUGCAGAGCAGAUUCAGUAACUCACCACGAGCUCUUGAUCUAGGGCUUGCUCUGUGCCCUUGAGGAAGUUCAGCCAUUCCCAGGCCCCUACCCACCGAGGUUCUUAAUGAAUCUUUUCCAUGCUCACCUUCUGAACAACUAAUGUGCUCAGGUGCUGCCAAAAUCCCCUUAAAGGAAUGGCCCCUGGUUACGAACUCUUCCUCCUAAAUAUAGCAGCAGAUUAUUAACUGAUUUGAGUGUCCCAGUGAGACGUCAGAUUAAAUACAAGACUUUUUCAAGAAACCACUAAAAGGCUCUGGAAUACUGAUCUUUUUAGUUGAUUGAAGAGUAUAUUUGAAAUUCAUAAAAAAUUUCUAAUCAUUACACAUGAAAAUAAUCACCCGGGAAGAGUUAAAUCCUGAUGAGCUGGAUAAGCCUAUCACCUCAAUUAAAAAAAAAAAUCAGGAUUCUGGAGAGAUGGCUCAGAGGUUAAAAGUGUGUGCCUCUCAUGUAGAGGACCUAAGUUCAGUUUUCAGCAUCCAUAUCCAGUGGCUCACAAAUGCUGGUAACUCCAGCCUCUUGGGAAUCCAACACAUAUGGCCUCUGUGGGCACCCAUAGUUGUAUGCCUGUAUACUUUCUCCACAGACACAUAAUUAAAACUAGGAUAAAGGACUGGGCAUCCAAAGAGCUUUCUGGGCUCUGAGUCUGGGAUGAGUCUCCAUGCUUUGUGUCUCUAAGCAAGUUCUCAGUUGCUGCUGAUGCUGUGAGACCAGGAAGCAGGCUUGACAAGCCCGGAGAUGAACAGCAUAACUCUUGCCAGAGGACAGGGAUGCAAUUAUUUCAGACAUAAACCACACACCCCCACACACACACGUACACGCACACAGGCACACGCACGCACGCAUGCGUACACGCACAUUGUAUCCAUUCUGAAACUACAGCGCUUCAUACCUUCCGUCUUCUCAAAGUAUUUUUUUCCCCCUCCAUGUUUUCUAACUUAGUUCUGUUGAUGGCACUCUUGAUUGUCAUCUGCCUUGAAAGUGCUCAGAAACGUACAGAAUCUCUGUCUAUAGCUUUCACAUUUUUCACAACUGUCUGCCAAAUUUGGUUUUCUCCCUUCGCUUACAUUAAAGAUUUUAGGAAAAGAUUUUAUUUGGUUUAUUUAAUGUCCUUAUUUGGUUACAUAACACCAGGGGCUAUCCAGUUCUCAUGUCAGGAUCACAUUCAUAAGGCCUUCUUACUGAAAUGGGCUUUGAGAAGUAACUUGGCAAUCUCAACCACAGUUUUGUUGUUUUUAAAUAAUGAAUUAAUUCAGACAGAAAAUCUUGAAUUGUAGGUUGAUUUAACAGUAUUUUUGCUCCUUUGAGUUUUAUGAGAGGUAUAGUGAUUCAUAUUUUUAAAGUUACUGGAAGACAGUUGUCAGGACUGAAAUCUGCAGGCUCCUUAAAGACCAAGACUUUGACGAGUGUCCCUAUUUAAAAUCACCAUCCAAGCAAUAAAGAAAUGAUUAAUAAGCCAACCAAUUACUUAAGUUCCAAGACUAAAGGGCAGUCUUCUGCAGGACACCCAAAGGGUUUGUUUUGACAAAUGGUCUCAGUUCUCUCUUAUUAGAAUCAGUCGAGGAAGAUCUCUUAGUCCUUUUCACAUUCAGACAAUCCAGUUUGAGUCUAUGUUGGAGAAAAACUGACCUCGGACUUGGCAUGUACCCUACCAUUCACUGGGCUUCCACUUCGCACUGUGAUGAACCCAAAGUGACACUUAGAUUCCAUUGAUUCCUAACCUGAGCAUCCUGGCUAACCUGUCUUGUCACUCUGUAACUGUGACAGUCCUUGAAAAACACCCAGAAACUCUUAGAAAAUUUUCGCAUCCUCAGCAGAGUCUAUGAUAUUGGAUACGCUGUAUCACCUACCUACCUAAUCUUUGCAGAGGUGGGGAGAUGAACAAGUCUUGGUUUCUUCCAGGCCUGCUCUCCUGUGCCUGUAGUAUGUAGUUGUGAACCCUGGGGGUAGGGAUUGAAGGCCUGUGAAAGAAAGACUAGUCUUAGAUGCCAGUAGAGAACUUCCGUUGGCUUUUCCUAGUUGUCCUUCAGUGGUGAGAGGCAGCACUAGGCAGGUAGGGGACACACGUGAAUUCUUUCUUCAGUAAGGCCCUUUGAAGUUGCUCUUCAGAAAGCAUUUGAAUACAUGCAGAAAUCCACAUACGUGAACCUCAGGAGGACAGCCGGUGGCCUGCUAGGUUCCAUAUGAAAUCAGUAGCGUGUAACUGUCCUAGCUGUAGAAUAGUGUCUCAUCUUACACGCAGAGAGGAUAAAGCCACGUCUGGUUUCCGCACCUUUUCAUUGUUCCAUUUUGUAUUUCUCCCCGAGGUUUCAAAAGGAUGGAUGAUUGCUGGUGUGGUAGGAUGGCAGCCACACCCAGUGUCUGACAGUGAGAGAGGACAUGGGAUGGAUUCCCACACAGUUCUUCCGCUGUGAGAGUUAUGCCAGCAUUGUGAUCAGAGACAGUGCAAAGCAAUUGAUCCAUCGUGAGGGAGCCUUGAGUGUUACUGCCUCGAUCUGUCUCUGGGCAGGGACAUCUGUAUGCCCGGUGUUUAAUGUACUUAAAGGCUAAAUCUGUACAUUAAGAAAUCAGGAGUAAAGAAGUUGUGGAAAUGCGAACUUUGAAAUGUAAUGAACAAAAGCUUCUAGGAGAGUUAAGUGUUCUAUCUGACUAUGUUAUAACCAAGUCUCCUUCAUCCUGCAUGAGAUUAAUAUUAGAUAUUACAGAAUGGAAUUUCAUGCUGACCUGUAAAAGUAAAACAAAACGUUAAAAGGACAUGCCCUAGAAUUAUUUUUCCCUUGUAAUCAGACUAACCCAACCUGUAGAGUCCAGGGAAAACAUGUUGGGUUUCACACUUAAUCCCCCAGAAGUCAGUUCUUAGAACUGUUAUCUAAAGAGCUACAAGUUGGGAGUGCCUUGGCUUGUAGUUCCAGAAUGGCCUUUAUCAUCUGGAUGACAGUUUUUCCAAUUUAAUUAACAAUUUAUUCAGUCGUAAAACUACAGUGACUCAUGUAAUUAAAGGCUUCCUUCUGUGUCAAUAGAGGCUUUUUGGAGCUUGGUAACAAGUUGGACAACUUCUCUGCUGCUUUUCAAAAGAAGUAGUCAAUCAGUGGGUAAUAUUUUUAGAAUUUCAAAACUUGAAUAUGGCUGGCCGCUAAUCGUCUGAAAAGAAACUGCUUGAUUAAUUACAAUGAAUGCAUGCAUAAGUGACAACACUUUCUUGGGCCUCAUUGAAGCUUUAGCAGGUGGCCUCCUCCAAGCAAGGUGAACAGGAUGGGGAAGGGCCACCUCUCCAUCUUCAUUAAUACUCUCCUUAAAACAAACAAGUUCCCCCUCCCCCAAACUUAUGAGCUCACAAAACCGACUGAGGUCAUUAUAUGUUUUGCCUAGUGAUUUAAAAAGUUUUUUUUUCACCUUGCUAGAUUUUGCUAGAUUUUGAGUCUCCCUUGAACAUGGGCAGCAGUACAUUCUUCAGGAAGACACCCAAGUAGAGUUUUUCCACAGCUAUCAUAAUAAUAGCGUCAUAUUAAAUGAAUGGUGUGUUGACAAAGCCAACCGUUUGAACAUUUGGUGAGCAUAGGCAAAUUAAGAAAAAUGUUGAGAGAGAUACUGCCAGUUAAUUAAGUGACCACAAGAUCUAUCUGAAGUUUGACAUGGAGAAUUUCAGUGUAUGGUGACGUAACCAAUUUACCCAGUCCUGAAGAGUUCACUGUAGAAUUUGGAAAUGCCGUAGCCUCUCUUUUCAGACAGGGCAGUUCAGGUAGGAGUCAGGCAGCCCAGGAGCAACAGAGCCAUGUGACUUCGUACUCGGUUUCUGGGAUAGUCCUAAGUAAUGUAUCUGAGAAACAAGUGACAUUUUAUGCCAAGAGAAUCCUCCAGCUCAAACAACUGCCAUUUUAUCUUCAUACCCUUGGUAGAUUGAGGGUUUUUUGAGGCACAUACCUUCUACCACUUUUGUGACUGCAAAGUUAGUAAUGAGAGAAUCCAAAUUCAAGCCCUGGGCUGUGUGGUUUCGGAAUCUGUGCUCUAUACUUCGGUAGCCUCUUUUCUUGAUACAGUCUUGUGGAAUUGGAAGUUAUGAGGUCAUUUACGAUAAGUUUGUAACGCAAGUUCCUGUCAGUUUAUUUGGUUACCAAACACCCGAUGAGGAGGGUUUAGCCAUUCCCAUUUAGUUGCCAGUUUAGAAGGGAGCAAGCAGGUUUGGCAGAGUGCACCAUCCACACACACUCAAAAUCAAGUCACAUUAUUAUUAUUUUUUAUCAGGUCACAUUAUUAAGUCACUGGGCAAUCCAUAGUGACUAGGACACUCUCAGUCUUCUCUCUGGCUUCCUGUUUGCCACAGCUGCAGGGUGGUGGUAGGGAGCUGAAUCUCAGUAAGAAUAUAGCGCUUGCCUCCCCUCUCAUUCUCAGCCCUCCUCCUGGGUUUCAUUUCAUUGAAGGUUGUGAAGUGUGCAGGGUGUAAGGGGUCCGGAGGGAUCUGCCCUCAGGGAUGGACCUUAAGACAUGAGCUUUCAUUCUUCUUUUCUGAGCUUUUCACUGUUUUUCUUCACCUCCUGCCCCCAAGAACAACUACCAAAAACUCUGGUAGUGAUGAACCCAUCAAGAAAAAAAGAUGCUCUGAAGAUGGCCUCACCAAUCAGGCACCUGUCUGCCCUGAGCGUAAGGCGGUCGAUCUAUCAAGUUGGACUCCCCCACCUCGUCUCCGGCAUGCAGCGCAUUUCAGGGAGCAAACUGCUUGCUUGUUUGAGUCUCAGAUCAUCUUUAGCUAUUGAUAGAAACUGGAACCAAAUUGGUCGAUGUUCUCCACUUCUUUCCCAGUAGGAAUCUUGCUUUCGAUUCAAGUUGUCAAUCAUUUCUCAAAACCUACUCUUUAUUUAUACAUCUGUUUAUUUAUAGCCCAUCUUGUCGCACAGAAGUCGAGGUAAAUUAAAGGAAACGUAAAAUAGUAAAAAAAAAAAUCAAGUAAAAGUAGAAAAUAAAGAUCGGAAAAAAAAGAAAUUAGAAGAGUGCAGGACCCGAGAGGAGAAAAGAGACUUGAUUUUUAGUUUUUUAUCUAGGGAGCAAAACAAAAACCACAGAAGCAAAUGUGAGCUGUUGUCAGGUCUGGAUUUUUGUUGAUGAGGAAGAAGAAACAAGGCUUCCCACACUAAAAGAAAAUUCUCACGUGGGUCUCCUUUCAGAUGGUAAUUCUUGUGAAAAGCGUAUAGGUAUUAUGAUUGUAAAGAUGACCUUGGGUCUUUCUACCCAGUAGGGAAUCGGGAAAAUUAAUACUUAUAGAACACAAUAAAUGUAGCUCAAGGACAAGCCUUCGCAGGAGAGUUGGGGGAAAUAGCAUUCAUUCUGACAGAGACACCUGGGCAGGCCGAAAGAAGGCAGAUCCAGCAGGAAGGUGCUAGUGGGUGUCUAGAAAGGGUAGACCCUGACUAGGGAACCGAGAGAUGAGCCUUCGGUGCCAGAGAAUAGAUGGUUAGAGUGUGGGCUUGUACUGGGGGUGAGGCAGACGUGCAGUAUUUUGGGACACAUGUAGGAGAAUGCAAGACAAGGGGGAGUGUGAAAAUGGCGUUUGGGAGACUGUGGUGUCUGCGGAAGGCCUAUUCUCUGGCCCACGUUGAAGGAAACUUAUUCUGAUACCAAGUAAAGGAUAUGGGACUGAGGCAAGGAGCUCCAUGGAAGAGACCAGUUAGGGCAGGACACUGUUGUACUAACAAGAAAACUGGCCAGAGCCAGCAGAAUAAAAAGGAGAGCAAAGGGGACUCUGCAUCCUGAAAUUCAAACCACCCAGUCACCUAGCCAGAUCCGGAAGUACCUAAGGGACAAGUAAGAGGUGACAAAGGAGAUAAACAAGAGCUCUGGGCUAGAGUAAAGGUGUCAAGUAUGCAGGGAUGGAACCAUUGGGGUCUUGUAGCUUUGCUAAAGUAUAACACACCAGUGAAGAACGUUAAUGUUAGCAUGGCUUGUCUUCUCAUAGGCAUUGGAGUUCAUGUUUUCUUGUGUGAUAUUCUAAUGAGAGUUGGGAAGAGUACAGAAGUACAUGCCUGAUAGUAAGUGCUGAGCUCAGGGACAGUUUACGGUAAGCAACUUCAGAGGUCAUUUUUUAUUUCAUUUUUAUUGGUGUGUGUGUGUGUGUGUGUGUGUGUGUGUGUGUACAGGUACGUACACACAUGUGUGAGGAUGCCUGCACAGGUCAUAAGAGGGACUCCUGACCCCUGGAGCUGGAGUUGCAGGUGGCUAUGAGCCACAUUCUCUGAGGCCAUUUCUACUCCUGGUGCUUUCAUUUGUUUCAUUGUCUCCUCUGCAGUCUGUGGGUCUCUCAGAAUAUGCUCAGAACUUGCCUUGCCUGAAUACUCUACCCACAGCAGCUGUACUAGAGUUCGUGAAAGAAGCCUUCCCACAGUCAUGUAUGGCCACUGUUCCUCUCCUCUCCAUCAAGGGAGGACAGUCUGUAUGUUCUGAAGCACAGAUUCCAUAGCCUAUGGUGCAAGAGAGUCCAUGGUUCAAGGGCUCGGCUAAUAAGUAGCCAGACUAUGGUUAAAGGACCCUUAAGCAAAACCAAAUAGAAAGUUACUUACUGGGCAGGCCAGUCUAGUGUCAUGCAGCUUCCCGAACUGAUUCCUGAUGACUUGGAAAUGUGACAGUUUGCAAAGGCAGCAGUAAAUUGAUAACUGGGAGAAACCCUGAUGUGGCUCUGGGAAUCCCUGAGGACAGACACCAGGGAAGAUCUGCAGUGUCCAGUAUAUUCACGAAAGAAUGGGGCAGUCAUUUCCUGGGGGAGGUUUGAAAACUUGUUGGUCACCUCUAAAGAAACCCACAUCGAACCUCUGCCUCCUUCCACCACUCAGUCCCUGACAACUAUUACUCACUUUGUGCCUAUGAAUUUAUUUGUUUUGAAAGUUUGAUAAAAAUAAAGUCAAAAGCAAAUGA